GUAAUGCCGGAUGCUCCAGUUGUUCGCAUGGUCUUUUGGGAAAGCUUUCGCGGUAUGGGAUGGGGUCGCGUCCUAUCAGCUUGACGGCGGGGUAACGGCCCACCGUGGCUUCGACGGGUAGCCGGCCUGAGAGGGCGACCGGCCACAUUGGGACUGAGAUACGGCCCAGACUCCUACGGGAGGCAGCAGUGGGGAAUAUUGCACAAUGGGCGCAAGCCUGAUGCAGCGACGCCGCGUGAGGGAUGGAGGCCUUCGGGUUGUAAACCUCUUUUAUCGGGGAGCAAGCGAGAGUGAGUUUACCCGUUGAAUAAGCACCGGCUAACUACGUGCCAGCAGCCGCGGUAAUACGUAGGGUGCAAGCGUUAUCCGGAAUUAUUGGGCGUAAAGGGCUCGUAGGCGGUUCGUCGCGUCCGGUGUGAAAGUCCAUCGCUUAACGGUGGAUCCGCGCCGGGUACGGGCGGGCUUGAGUGCGGUAGGGGAGACUGGAAUUCCCGGUGUAACGGUGGAAUGUGUAGAUAUCGG
Molecule: ribosomal RNA, 522 nt
Filed under: Bifidobacterium longum subsp. suillum
Lineage: Bacteria; Bacillati; Actinomycetota; Actinomycetes; Bifidobacteriales; Bifidobacteriaceae
Description: bacterial SSU rRNA
Rfam family: Bacterial small subunit ribosomal RNA
Source: RNAcentral